AGGAUUUUGUGGUGUGGGAUGUUCAGCUCUGCCCGUUUGUCCGACAGCAUCUUGCCCCCCUUGAUGCUCUGGUGGAAGUAGCCUGCCACAUUCCUGCAUUUCGAAAUGAGCUUGCUUGUGGUGCUGGCUCCAUCACUGGCAGCCCUGUCCCCCUCCAAGGCAUCCCUGACAAUGAGGUGGAACUUGUGUGCCA
Long non-coding RNA from Gavialis gangeticus (Gharial), 193 nucleotides. RefSeq lists it as uncharacterized. Lineage: Eukaryota; Metazoa; Chordata; Crocodylia; Gavialidae. The transcript has 3 exons. The record is from RefSeq and is a predicted model, not a curated record.